Molecule: non-coding RNA, 1207 nt
Organism: Ictidomys tridecemlineatus (thirteen-lined ground squirrel)
Lineage: Eukaryota; Metazoa; Chordata; Mammalia; Rodentia; Sciuridae
Source: RefSeq, a predicted model, not a curated record
UUUCCAUUUCCUCUUUUGUUGGUGAGGUGAUUUUGUACUUGAAACCCAGCGUUCGUAUUCAUCUGCCGCAGCAAGCCUGGGUGGUUUAGAGGGCAGAGGUGUAUUGUCUCACAUUUCUGGAGGCGGCAAGUCCAAGAUGAAGGCCCAGACAGGCCUCUCUUCCUGUCGUGCGGAUGACCUCCUUCUUGCUAUGUCCUCAGGGGCAGAAGACUAUGCUAUGCCUCAUGGAGGAAAAUGCAUGUUCUACAAGCUUCCCCGGAAGCAUGAGUAGUUCUAUAACUUGCCACUUUUGGAGGAAGAAGCCAGCAGCACGAUUUGGUUCGUUCCUUGCCAAAACUAUCAGGAAGGAUAUGAGUAAGACGAUGCAAGAAAGACCAACUGCAACUAUCAGGUUGCUGGCAGGAAGCAGAAUUCUGCUCAGAUGAGCUCAGAGACUUCAUUGAAGACAGCGGGGAGGUGUAUACAGGUCAAGGCCGGGAACCACAGGAAGCUGUUAUUGCCCUUGACCAGAGGGACAAGAGGUCCAGUGGAAGCUUGGAGCUGCAGAGAAGGGGUACCUGGAGGGAUAGUAGUCAUGGAAAGACACAGAUACAGCAGAGAUAGAGCAUCAAAGUGGGGGAUCACUGGGGGGAAAUCUUCAUCCCCUGUCCCCUCCUCGUUGCCCACCCCACCAGAGGCCAGGUGGUAAGGAAGUUCUUGUGAUGCAGGCCCUUCUGGUCAACUUCCUGAUACACAGAAAGGCACAGAAGAGCACAGAAUGGAUUCCAGAGUAGGGUGCCAGUUGGAGAGGGAUCGUGCAUGCAUUGAUGUGUUGGUUGGGUAUAUUCUUCAGAUACGGUAUUAUUAUAGACUCUAUUACAGAGAGGGUCCCUGCAUUUUCACUCCUUGUACCCCCUUCUCCCCCACUUUGCCAUACUUCUUGGGAACCACUCUUGUUCUCGUGAAUCAGGAGGACGACCCUGAGCCUGCCACAUACAUAUGAGACAGACUAUGGGCUCUUUGAAAGCCUCGUUUCUUUUCCGUCCCAUAGAAGUUGGUCAGUAAGUGUACAGUGAAGGAAGGGCAUGGAGAGCAUCUCCCUGUAAGACUUGCUCCCAGCCCUCUUCCACUGGAUGGAGCCCUCUUGUGGAACACUUAGGGUAAAGAAGACAUAGACUAUGACCACACAAAUGCUCACAGAGCUACAAAUAUGGGGAACGAGGCAGCU